UUUGAAUUUUUCAUUUUUUUUUUUUAUUUAAUAUUUUUGUAGUGCAUUGAAACAAUACAUACAGGCCUUAGGUGCCCCAACAGCAGUCCUCAUGCUUAGCUCAUGCAGUACAAUUGGGGUAGUUGCAAGAACAUGCACAAUUUUAAUAUCUUGAGAACAACUUAAUGAUUAUAUCGAUUAAUGCCUAAAAUGGUAAAUAUGAAUAGAUAUGUUAACAUCUGUAGCCUGUUGCGGUUUACCUCUUUUCCUUUCAUUUAAUGGGUCUAUGCAGGCUAAUCUUAGGCAUAUAGAUUACUGUAGUCUGGAGCUGCAGUAUGACAGCAAUAGUAAAACAUUAGUAAUUAAACAGUGUUACAAUGUUGUAAGAUGGUGACAAAACAUUCUGCCCUCGAGUCAAUAGUUCUAGACCUCUUUUGCAGCCUAGCUGCAGUAGCUGCUCAAUACUAGAACGAUGAGUGCUCUGUGGGCUUGUGGUAGUGUCUCUUUUAACCAAUGCCUUCUUAUGGGAGACGGCUGGCACCCGCUGCUGGUCCUCGGGAAGCCGCUGGUGCAUGGUCCUGGGGAAUGUUUUAAUUUUAAGAUGCUUUAGUCAGCGUUUCUCUUUUCGCACUUUGGUCGUUCAAACCAAAUGUGUCCUUGUUUACGUAAGCAUUUUUCUAUUUCAAGAUUUGUAAAUUGUGUAACAAAUUUAUUUAUAGGUUAUUACGUGUGUGUGU
Molecule: non-coding RNA, 716 nt
Organism: Pelobates cultripes (western spadefoot toad)
Lineage: Eukaryota; Metazoa; Chordata; Amphibia; Anura; Pelobatidae
Source: the annotation of a GenBank genome assembly